RNAcentral lists this small nucleolar RNA (133 nucleotides) under Microtus ochrogaster (prairie vole). RNAcentral's name for it is "Small nucleolar RNA U109 (ENSMOCG00000003797.1)". It matches the Rfam family "Small nucleolar RNA U109". The record is from Rfam by way of RNAcentral. Lineage: Eukaryota; Metazoa; Chordata; Mammalia; Rodentia; Cricetidae.
UCGCAUGCAGACAUAUGGGCCCCUCUUUUGUUUGUGAGUAGGAAUGUAUUCAUAACAUGCUACAUUGUCAAGGAGUUCUCAGGGCUACCACCUUAGAGUAGAGGUUGAGUAGUUGUAUAUUUCUCCUACAUUA